Molecule: long non-coding RNA, 9103 nt
Organism: Gallus gallus (chicken)
Lineage: Eukaryota; Metazoa; Chordata; Aves; Galliformes; Phasianidae
Exons: 2
Source: RefSeq, a predicted model, not a curated record
AAUCCGACGUGAAUAAAGCCCGAAAGAGCCAACUAAGCCAUACCUGGAUCUCAUGAAUGCGGCCGAAGCCGUCCUUCCAGAAGAACUCGUAGAGAUUGUAGAGGGUGUUGGGUCCGGGCAUUUCGUGCAGACUCUUCACCCUGCCCAGCUGCGGGGAGGGCUCCAGCAGCUCCCCCGGCCGCGCCGCUUUGUUCUCCGCGCCGCUCCGCACCUCCAGGGACUGACUGCCCGACAGCCCGGGCGCCUGGUGAAACCUGCUGACAAAAAGCGCGUGCUGGAAGGCCACUGAUGACAGAGCAGUUUACUUCAGAGUACCUGCAGUUCAUACAGGUUCUACCCACGGAGAUGUCCCAAAAUGGAUGUAUGCCUCUAAUGAUCUUCAACAGCUAGGUUCAAGUGCAAUCCAUUAGAGACUAUUUGCUCUUUCACCUUGUGCAAUUUGUGCAGUGACUGCUGCACAUGGCUAUCUGGAACAUCAUUUGUCUUUCACGUCACCGUCACCACUGCUGAAACACACCACCCACCACCUCAGUUUGCUAGCAUCUACUGUUUAAGUCUCCGUAAGUGUUCAGCAAGCUUCAGUGAACGUCAAUGGGUGCCAUUUUUUCUGCACGGAGGAAUUCAAUUCCACAUCUUUGCUUCAUAUGCACUUCCAUGCCAGACACCAUUUUGUCGGACUGCCCCCCUGCUACCAUCUGUCACACAACAACAACAUGCAAUGGAAUAUUGGUGAGAAGAUUCAGCCUUUACUGCCAUACUACCAACAUCCACCUCUGACACUGUGGGCCAACAUAAUUAAACAGGAGGCAUUACUUUCAGAUCCACCCUUAUAUAUCCGAAAGUAAUGUAACUAAAGUAACUUACCUUCCUAAAAGCUGUAUUAAACUACUUGUAUCUACCCUUACAGCAACAGAGUUAACAGAAUAAUGCAGGAAAAAUUUUUGCCUGCAAGUAAAACCUUCAUUAAUACAUUUCACAACUGUAAUUCUCAAGUAUCUGACCUAGUCACAAAAUGAAAGAAUUAAAGUUAUAUUCACAGGCCACAGUUUAGUAAUUAGAAGGGACAAAUUACCUUGAAGCUAUAGCCUUGAUCUACAAGAAACCGCUGUCGCUUUGUUGAAUAUGCCAUUUCCUGAGUGUCUUGGGAUACAAGAGAAUAGAAAAAGGCAUUGUAUUCCUCUGCAACCAUGCCUAGGAGACAAAGCCACCAAAGGAUUAGUUCCAUUUGGAUCACUACAACCAAGAAGAAAAAAGGACUAAAUUGUAAAAAUAGGUAUUCAAAGAAGAAUCCUCUCCACAAAAUCAGUUUGUAAAAUGUAUUUUAAAUACAAGCUGCAUCCAGACCUUACAUAAACUGAGUGACAAAGCACACCACAUCGAAAUUCCUACUCUUGUUCAUAAUAACUCGAGGAUAGCUUAAAGGGAAAUGGAAAAGGAAAUUUAGACUAUCCCAGUUAUGCUGGUACCCCGAGAAGAACCUGCUGCUUAACUAUGCAGAACAAAGUAGAAGAAAAAAUUACUUACAUAAUAGUUUGCAAACAAGUGGUAAGAAGUCGAGAACAAAGAUUGUAAUGGAUGUCAAAAAAGUUAAACAGAAAUUACAAUGGAAAUUUAUCAGUGUGAUUUAUCAAUGUAAACGAAAGUUAGCAAUCUUUUUGCAUUAAAAGAAAGAUAAAACGAUAUUUUCUUUAACAACAAAAAAACCAAAGCAACCAAACCAAUCAAACAAACAAACAAAAGCCCACUGACCUUAUGGCUAUUUUACCUACUCUCAAAUACCACUGGGUUUUCUUGCAAAACCCAAGGUCUCACUAACACAAGUUUUGUAUGCAUUUUCAAACAAAACUUCAGCCACAAGAAACAUAAACUGUACAGAAAAUAAACUUUGCUGUACUACACCAAGACAGCACUGUGGAGUGUGCUUUGGUAGGAAGAAAAUUACAGAUAACAGCAGCAACUCUGUAUGGGGACAAUAAAAAGAGACUUCACAUCACAUGAAAACAGGUGGGAGAAAGCAAACCCCAGAUUCUGCUUACAACACUCAUUUUCCCAACAGCCAAAUGCAGAACUGAAGCACUGCAAUUUUAUUCUCCACCUGACAGUUAUCAAUAAUUUCCUCUGAAAUACGACCACUUCCUAGGGAAUACUCUUUCUAUCUAAACUAAGUGCCAACAGGCUGUGAUAUAAACCAAUCUUUAAGCUUCUUACUACCUUAACUUGAGAGAACUCUUGAAGUAGAACCAUUUCACCUUGAGCUACUUUAUAAUUUGUCUCAAGAAGAUAUAAAUGGGAUUAGAGCAGAUUAAACAUCGCCUAUUUAUCAGUUAAUAGAACAGACUUACAUCAGUGUCUUUUAGGAAACAUUCAGUUAAUCAAGUCAACCAGCAAAUUCUGCCUAAGAGCGAUUCACCUUAGUUCAAGACUAAUAGAAACGUCAAAAGAAAACGUGACAGAAGCAUCCCAAUAGCACUCAUAUGUAUUCUUCAAACUGAGACACAGAUGGGAGUGAUCAGUGAGAUUUCAAAUAACCAAUGAAGCAAUUCCUAAAAUCCUGACCCCACAGUAAGUUUAAAUCCUACUCACAUAUCCAUCAUAGAAAAAGGAAACACCAGUACAACUGCAGUUUUUUUCCUAUAUGAUCUCUGCACUCUGAGUCUAGAACAUACCAUAAAAAGCAAAGCUCACUUUCACUGAAGCUACAGUGACACUGUGACUCCACAUAUAUCCCAGGCCAGAGUGACAAAUAGCUUUUCAGCUUACAGUUUACUUAUCCUCUAGAAAUAUACUGGAGGAUGAGGGGAGGAACAGCAAAAACCUGAUGAACUAUUCAACCUGAUAACGAAAACAUGAUUUUGACAGUCUUUGGGUAGGAAGUAAAUGCUACAAGCACUCCAUUUAUGCUUUGCUAUGGAUGGACAGGAUUGCUGCUCCUGUUAGUGCCACAGCUUUCUACAACCUCCACCUGAAGUGUUUGUAAAUCAACUUUAAUAAAACACUAAAACAAGCAUUAGAGGAGAGAGAUACCUCAUAGAAACAAUGCUGGCUUUAUUGUAACAUAGUAUAUACAAAUUCACAAGUUUGGAGGAAAAAAAUAAACAUCACUGGGUGUUCUGGCUCAGCUGAUCUUAAGUUCUUAAAACAGAAAGGGGGAAACAAUGCUAUUCUGGCAUAGUAAAUCAUUGUAACAGGAGAGGAAAGAAGAUGCAAUAAAGUAUACAAGAAAGAAUUCAUUUCUGGCUAAAAAAGAAAUGGAGAAAAGAAAUAAGAGCUGCUGCAAGUGAAAGACUGAAUGGCAUCCGUAUUAGAACAACAACAACAACAACAAAGCCAAAACCCAACACUUCUCUCACACGGAACCUUGAACUACCUUCUUAUUCAUGAUAUUGCAGUUUAUUCAGUCUGUGUUUCAGUAUUCUAAAUAGUUGAGUAAUUAUCUGAAUGCCGUACUGUAUUCCAAAGAGCAGAGCCCAAGAACUACCUCACCUUUUUUGGCUCUCAGUACUCGCCCCAGUCUUUGAGCCUCCUGUCUUCGAGAUCCACCGUGGGAUGAAAUCUGAAUCAGAACAUUGGCUUCAGGUAGAUCAAAGGAUGUGUCACCCACCUACAACACAGAAGCAGUGUCUGAGCAGCAUCUUAUUUCCAUGUACCAAUAACGACUUUGUACAAAGUACACCUUUAUUAGUUGCAAUAAUAAAACGUCAAAUGCCCAAUGUGCAUGUAUAACUUGUUCUUAUAUAAGGCUCACUCUGAAGAUGAGUACAAAAACACACUACCUCCUCACCUUUGAAAUGAAAAUAGUGUUGAUUUUUGGAUUGUGCUUGAAGUUUUGUAGAAUUUGCAUUCUUUCUCCUUGUGCAGUAGGACCAUAUAUAUAAGGUCUGAAAAAAACAAAACACAUGCAAAUUAAACCAAUUCAAAAAUCCUCAUUUUUUAACAGGCACUAAGAUAUCAUGGCAGGGAACUCAUUACACAGUGAUUUAAACGUAUUAAUAGCACUGGUGAAAAAAAGAGCAUGAGCUAUGUGACUCUGGAUGACAGACUUAGGACAGAGUAAAAACUGGCUUAACAAAUUUUGAGUUCUGAGGCCUCAAAAAAUUAAAGGCAAAAUAAUUCCUGUCAUGUGCAUGUUCUUUCCCUGCUAGUACCAAGGGAAUAGAAUGGGGCAAAGGAGGAGCUGGUGCAGCAGCAGCCACCAGGCAAUGCCAAUUUCUCUCCACUGGGGAGCCCACCUGCCCCAUAUGCUUGAGCCAGGCAGUGGAACCCACCCGCUGAGCCAGCACAGCCAGGCAAAUACAGUCUGGGCUACUACUGAGGCACCCACUGGUCUGCUCCCUCCUACAUAGACCCAUAAUUCCUGCCACAUCCAAACUAACAGCUCUCUGUUUAUGCCUAAAGCCAACUUUGAGCAUGCCCAUGGAAAACUACGAUUAGAGAUCCUUCCAGUUAAAAUGUUCUCUUUCAUCUAGCACUGCAAGCCCUCCUUCUCUCUAGCUCUUACAGCUGUAUAAACUGGAGAUCCAUACGCAUCAUGUGGGAAGCAGAAUUGAGUCAAGAACGUGAAAAACAAGCCCCUAAUGUUUCUUCAAAUCAUUCUCCUGCUGUACUUCUAGAGCAUCUUCCAUACUUACAAACCAUUAGGCUACUUUGCGAGCACCCCUUCUAGGCAUGCGCCUUUGUUAAAGGCUCUUGUUGGGCACUGCACUGCACACUGCUAGCAACAUUCCAGAGGCAUCAUUACAGCUAAUCUCUGUCCAGACAGAUUUAAAAAAUGAUGAAAGAGACCACGGGUGUUGGAAUUCAUCCAGAACUACCAGCUCUGCUAUGUGAUGCACAGCAAGCCAAAACAACGCGGCCAUUGGACUAUAGUGAAAAGCGAUCAUUAAUUUUGGAAAGUGUAAAAAGAUUUGUUUGCAGUUUUGCUGAGUACUGUCAAAAUUCCUAGACAUGAAAUCAUGCAGUCAAAAUGCCCCACAGCUUCCAGUAAUCAACACAUUAUUUGAGCUUGUCACAGAAAGCAUGAGGCCAGCUUCUAAGCUUAUUUUCCCCGAGGAACUGCUCUGCUAUAUGCCUGAUCCUUGCAAACAUUCUCCCUAGUCAUCCCUUCCCAAGCCAUUCAAACGCAUCGAGGUUAACCCCUCAGUAAACUCUAUUUGCAGUAAUUUUACAGACAUUUAGGGUAGCUGAUCCUGAAAGAGCCCGAGUGCACAUUUGAAAACAUUCCUGUCAGAGACAGGAGAAGCUGCAGUCCAUUAGAGAAAUAUUUCUGGAAAGAUUUUUAAAGGCUCCCUGAUUUCGCCAAGUGGCUUUCAAUAAUAAUAAUAAUAAAAUAAAUGGGGAAAUACAAAGUCAUUCAUAGAAAACUUGGAUGAAAGCUCCUCUGAGCCAAGUGCUGAACAGAGAUUCUUUUCAAACAGUUCUACAACGGAAUUAAUGUUUCAAUGCCUAUAACAUCUACCCAAAGAGUAGUUUUCUGAACUCCUCUUAACUGAGAAUUGUAGUUAAAGUAUUACAACAAAUGGCUAGAGGUAAUCUUGCAGAUCUCAGUAACAAGUCAAUUUUCCAGAGAGGAGGAAAGCAACAGCAUCACUGCUAGUUCUGAACACUUACUUCCCAAGUCUGAUUGCGUACUCCUUCAGUGCAAACACAUUGUCAGCAAAAACAAUGAUUUUAUCAUUCCGUCGCUCAUGAAACUUAAUGAGGAACUGGCAAGCUCUAAACUUGUUUGGGUUCAUGGUGUACAGCAGUAUCCGUUUCUUUGUUUUGAUUGCUACGUAUUCUCGAUAAAAUUCGGGUGACAUUGGGCACCAAACCUAAAAUUGGAGAAUAUGCACAAAGUAAAUCCCAGUUAUCUAUUUAAUUCCAGUGGGAAUUUAAAUGAUAUUAGGGGACAAUAAUGCAUUGUAGCUUUCUACACAGCAGAGGCCACAAGUCCUAACACAGUUAAUUUCUCUACUAAAAUGAAGUAUUGACUGGUCUUGUCUCUAGAACCACUAAUUCUUUUUACCUCAUUAAUACCAUCAUCUUCCACUGGGGCAGUGAGAUACACGACAGAAACAGGCAGUGGGAUUGGAACAGGACAGGAAAAUGCUUGUUUCAAAUCUGAUAGUUCCACUGAAUGCUUCUACAUUUUACAAAGAAUGAAAGGAAUUAACUGUCUGCAAUAUUUCUGUCACUGUGGUCAAGGCCUUUGCCCUAAAAAUUCAUUUUCAUCCAUGUUCUGAAAAGCCAGAUAUAUUCAGUCCUCACUACAGAACACACUGACCAAUCCUUUCCUCAUAUAUCCACAAUGGAAUCAAAUUUAUUUUAAGAUAUGUUGAGUUUACAUCUUUCAAAACAGAAUUUAUUAGAACUUUUCAAUGGCUUUACCUGCACAGUAUCGUGCAUUGUGCAUGAAUUGAUAUAUAUAUUGAUAUAUAUAUCACAGUACUGUACAAGAUCCAGUCACUGUGAUAAUUUUUCUUUACAGUAGAGAUUGAAAAUAGAAGAAAUUAUGAAGUUAAUGCAAAUGCAGCAACACUACAGCACAACAUGACAACAUGCAUAAUGUCAUCUAAACGACGUACAUUUGUUCUGCUGUAUGUGGCUUCUUCUACCAUAUUCAUCACACAGUACAAAUUUAACAAAUAAUAUUUAAAAAGGCCUCUUUCAUAAUUACUGUUCAGCUACGGAAGUUAACAAAAAAAUCUACUCACAUCCGUGACAAUCUGUAUGAGUUUAUUUAACAACCCAAUUUGCUCUGUGCUCUUAAAAACCAUCACUAUCACAGACAACGGAUUAGGCCAGACCUUCAGCCUGACCCACAAAGGCUAUUUCCAACAUUCUAGCAUGCCUGGGUGAAAUCUUUCCACUUAUCUGACAUUAGACUUUCAUCUCAUCUAUUUGUUGGAAAGAAGAGAGGUCACACACGGUUAUAAUGGAAAGAAAUAGCAAAAUCUAGUUCCAUGUUUUCUGAUUUCAUCCUGAGGCCUUAGGGCUUGAAAUAAGCAGGUGUCUUAAUCUUUAAGCUUCCUACUAUCCUUCUUUGUUUUAAUAGUUACAAGAAUUUUCCCCAAAAAAGGACCACAGGCUACCAGCUGAAAUCUUCCAAAAGCAGCUUCAAGUAUGCCAUCUGACCAACACUACCAUACAGAACUGAGCUUAAAAUACAAAAUCAAAUCAAUGUGGAUACCUGCUGCAUCAAAGGAGGUCUACAACACUGCAACUGCUGUUGUUUUUUUCCUCAAAUGCUAAUUAGAGAGAACUGAUCAAGCACCACAACCCCCCAGAAAGAGAAACAGUGCUGAAGUCACACUACAGGAUUGCAACGUGUUUGUAUUGACUACUGACAGCCCUUCUCGAGCUACUGAGUGAAAAGCCAUAAGGGUACCUCCUGCUCACAUAGUUGAAUACCUACAGUUCUUUCUUCCAAAAAACAAAACAAAACAGCUGAAAAAAGCUGUAAGCAUGUUAAAUAUACACAAGCAGUACUGAAAAACAGAACAUCACCUCAGCACAUUGGACUUUAGCAAUGUAGCCACUGUUCUGCAGCUCCAUCCAGUUGGCCUCAUAGAGCUUUGGUCCAAUCAGGAAGUUCAGAUCAACAAUUUUAUCAUCUUCUCUGACCAGGGUAGCAGUCAGUCCCAGCUUACAGUGAGCUUGUACAAUGGUGAGCACACGUCUGAACAUUUUUGCUACGAAACACAAGACAUACUUGCUGUUUACUUUCCUGAAUGGAUUUAGAAUACAAGAACUGCAACUUUACACAUUAAAUAAAGAAACAAAUCAUAAACUCCUGAGCACAAAGCAAGCAUGGUCUUAGGAAUUAUCAUCCCAUUUUACAUACACUUCUAACAGUAUUCUGAGUCACAGCAAAACUUCACAUCGAUUUCAGCUUUAGUUUGCACCUUCAAUGUACUCUAAAAAACCCUAUAAACCUUUUGCAUUUGUGUUACUUCCUGUUUCCCCAAAAGUAUAUAACAGGGAGAGGUUACAUGACUUAUCUUAGCCAUGUAGUAUUUCAUAAAAUGAUUGAUAACACAAGUUCUCUUGGCUGACUUUGCCACGUUUAGGACUAAUAUAAGGCAGAAUUAUUUAUCUUCAGUACUCUUUCAAAUGCUGUGAUUGCAUUCUGCAGGCAUAGGAGAAUCUAUACCUUAGUUUUUAUGAAAUAAAGAACAGUGAAAGAACUGUGUCAGCAACAUGCUGCUUUGUUAAUCCAAGUCUACCCUGCAAAUCUAUCAUUUCAGUAGAGACCAAAUUAUAUCCUAAUUAAAACAUGACAGCAACGUAGAACAGCAGACAGAAUCCUGGAUGAUACACAUCACGAGGAUAACUCCACAGACACUUUAAUACCGCUUUACUGCUGUCCAACAGUCUUCAACUACAACAGCUAUUUCUGGACAGUAACUAUUGCAGUUACUCAAAUUUUAUGGAAUAGAAAUAGACAGUAACAGCUCAGCCUGUAGUGCAAUUGCAUUUCAAAACCAGAGAUGGCAGAUUACUGCCUCUCCUGUUCCUAAAGAGAGCGCUACCAUCCACAAACAAAUUUGUCUACAGCAAAAUUAAACACAUUUAAUUCAGGUAUCCUCACGCAGUUUAUCAACCUACCCAAAAGGAGAAGGGCACUCAUAUUCUGUACUACCAUUGUAGAGAACAACAUAACUUUAGAACGGUUUCAAAUAAACAAACAAACAAAAAAUCAAAGGCCAGUUAAACACUGGGGGAAAAAAAAAAGAAGAUAGCAGUUCACCUGUCUGUCUCAAAACCCUAUGCCAUGGUUUACCAACUGCAUUAAAUGUGAGCAAGCUAAUAACCCCACAAGCUUUUACAGAGCAAAGCAACAUUACCAGUACAUACAGCAUGAGGGUCUGCACACCAUUUCCUUACCAGGAAUAGUAUGUACUUCAUCGAGUAUCAUAAGGCCCCACUCUCGACUUUUAAGCCACUCCAUUACUCUCUCUGCUUCCCAGGAUCUUUUAGUCGUGUGUCCCAACAUGGAAUAGGUGCUGAUAGCAAUAGAACAAUCAAUGGGCUUAUCUUUGGCAUCGGAGGUGAACCGACAUAUCUGACUGUCAUCGAUGGUGGACCACAUCUUGAACUGUGCUUUCCACUGUUCUACAGACAC